CCAGAAUCUCAUGAAUCGCAAGCUAAAUAAAUACAUAGUGUUCUAACUCCAGAAGUCUAAAGAAGAACAAUACAAGAAGUCUAUAACUAAAGGGAGAAUAGAGAGGGACUUCUAGGUCUGCAGACAUAGCAGAUAUACCUCGAAGUUUCUGGAUCGCCUUACCUUAUGGAUAGUAUGGCUGAGCAAAAGAACCUGGAUCUGCACAAAAGAAACAUGUGCAGGAAAGGGAAUAUGUACACCACGACGGUACCCAGUAACUGCCAAGCAUAACCUCAGUGGAGUAGUGACGAUAUCUUGUCAGGGCCCGACUAUGUAUAUAUAUAGCAAGGUAAAAUAGUAUUAGAUAUGGCAGUAUAGUUAAAAAUACUAAUAGUCAAUGAAAAUGAAAUCACUGAAAGAAAUAACUCAGAACAUAGAGAUAGCAACAUGGGAUCUCCCAUGAUAACAUCCCGUAGUCCCAAACAUAAAGGUACAGAGGAUCUCCCGGGAUACCACCCUGUAGUCCAAACCGUAAAUGUGCAAGGGAUCUGCCAGAAUACAGUUUCGUAGUCCCAAAGUAAAUAUCUAGUACAGGGGGAUCUCCCAGGAUACCGUCCUGUAAUCCCAAAUAUAAAUGUGCAGGGGGAUCUCCCGAAAUACCAUUCCAUAGUCCCAAAGUAAACAUGUAGGGCGAUCUCCGGGAUAUCGUCCCGUAGUACCAAAGUAAAUACACAACAGUCUCAACAAGAAAAUCUACAGUUCUAUUCAAGUUCGUAUCAAAAGACGGGUAAUUCCUACUCUAAACAUGCUGCACAAAAUCCAAAUAAGCAGUUAAAGCAGGUAAGAUAGUAAAUUCACAUAAGAAUUCUUUCCAAAGCUAAACAGGAAGCUUCACAUAUAAGUAUUGCUCAAUUAAAGGAAACAUAGAUAUUUACUUAAACAAAAGUGGGGGUUUUCAACAAUUAGCACGCGUACGCACUCGUCACCUCACGUACAUGGAAUUCAUAUAAAAACAAUACCAAAAUCCUAAGUGGAGUUCCCCCACACAAGGUUAGGCAAGCCACUUACCUCGAACCAAGCUCAAAAUCAAUCCGAUAUCACGUACUUACCACGAAUAUCCAACUCCGAGUGGCCCAAAUCUAAUCAAAUCAAUUACAUAUAUAUAUAUGUUCUCGGGGCCAACGUCUCGGGGCAAACAUCUCGGAAUCGGGUAAAAGUCACAAAUUAGGGACACCCAUUAACUUACGAGUCUAACCAUAUCAAAUUCACUCAAGUACGAUACAAAAAUCUCGAUCAAAAUCCCAAAAUUCGGCCUAUGAAAUUUUCUCUAUUUUCCCAAAAUUUCACCCCAAAUCUAAUAUUAAAUGAUGAAAUGAAUCUUAUAUUAAUGGGAUAUAAUCAAAAAGUAGUUAGGAAUCAUUACCCACAAACUUCCUCCGAAAACCUCUCCAACUUUCGCCUCCUACCGAGAUCUCAAUCUAAUUUUUUGUGUGAUGAACUCAAACCCUCAUUUUUGGACUUUAAAUUCUGCCCAGAUGCGUUCUUCUUCGCAAACGUGAUGAACAAAAUCCCACUGACCCAAAUUCCUCCUUCACGAACGCAUAACUUACACUAGCGGACUCUUCGCGAAUGCGAGGACCAUGUCGCAAACGCGUAGGCUUAAGGUUUCACACUUACGCGAACGCGAAGUACAACUUAGCUGCCUCUCCCAGAGGCUCUAUGCGAAUGAGAUUCCACUAUCAUGAAUGCGAUGAAGGAUUUUUCUGCAACAAAACACCAGAAAAUCUACCUCUUCUCUAACUCCAAUUCAAUCGUAUGAACUUGAAUUUUCAAAAUUCUAUACGGAAUACUGUUCCGUAGUCCCCAAAUAAAUAUCCAGUAUAGGGCGAUAUCCCGAGAUACCGUCCCAUAGUCCCAAAUAUAAAUGUGCUGGGGGAUCUCCCGGAAUACCGUUCCAUAGUCCCAAAGUAAAUAUGCAGGGGGAUCUCCCAGGAUACCAUCCCAUAGUCCAAAAGUAAAUACACAAUAGUCUCAACAAGAAAAUCUACAGUUCUAUUCAAGUUCCUAUCAAAAGACAGGUAGUUCCUACUAUAAACUUGCUGCACAAAAUCCAAAGAAGCAGUUAAAGCAGGUAAGACAGUAAAGUCCCAUAAGCAUGCUUUUAUAAGCUAAAUAGGAAGCUUCACAUACUAGUAUUGCUCAAUUAAAGGAAAACAAAGAUAUUUACUUAAUCAAAAAUUGGGGGUAUUCAACAAUUAGCGCGUGUACGCACUCGUGACCUUAUGUACACGACAUUCAUAUAACAACAAUACCAAAAUCCUAAGGGGAGUUCCCCCACAUAAGGUUAGGCAAGCCACUUACCUCGAACCAAGCUCAAAAUCAAUCCGAUAUCAUGCUCUUGCAAUGAGUAUCCAACUCCGAGUGGCCCAAAUCUAAUCAAAUCAAUUACAUAACGUAAAUAAAUCUACAAGCGACUAAUUUAACUAAUUAAUUCAAAGCUAAGGCAAGAAAAUAGGAAAACGCCCAAAAAUCCUCCCAGAGCCAACGUCUUGGAAUUAGGUAAAAGUCACAAAUUAGGUACACCCAUUAACUUAUGAGUCUAACCAUACAAAAUUCAAUCAAAUCCGAUACCAAAAUCUCGAUCAAAAUCCCAAAAUUCGGCCUAAGAACUUUUCUCAAAUUUUCCCAAUUUUUUACCCCAAAUCCGAUAUUAAAUGAUGAAAUGAAGCUUAGAUUAAUGGGAUAUAAUAAAAAAUGAGUUAGGAAUCAUCACCCACAAACUUCCUCCGAAAAUCUCUCCAAAGUUCGCCUCCUACCGAGCUCUCAAUCCAAUUUUUUGGGUUAUGAACUCAAACCCUCUUUUUUCGACUUUAAAUUCUGCCCAGAUGCGUUCGUCUUUGAGAAUGUGAUGAACAAAAUCCCACUGGACUAAAUUCCUCUUUCACGAACGCGAGGUUCCUCUCGCGAACGCGUAACUUAUAUUGGCGGACCUUUCGCAAACGUGAGAACCCUAUCGCAAACGUGUAGGCUUAAAGUUCCACACCUACGCGAACACGAAGUAGAACUUAGCUGCCUCUCCUAGAUUCUCUACGUGAACACGAGACCCCUCUCGCGAACGCAAUGAAGGAUUUUUCUGCAACAAAACACCAGAAAAUUUGCCACUUCUCUAAGUCUAAAAAUGACCCGUUGAGCAUCCGAAACACACCUGAGGCCUCAGAAGCUUAACCAAACAUACCAACCAAUCCUAACACCAUACAAACUAACUCGAGCCCUCAAAUCACAUCAAACAAUACUAAAAUCAUGAAUCACCCUCCAAUCCAAACAUAAUGAACUUAAAAUUUCAAAAUUCUACAACGGAUGCCGAAAUCAACCAAACCGCGUCCGAUUGACCCCAAAUUUUGCAGACAAGUCAUUUUCAAUACUAUAGACCUAUUACAACUUUUGGGAUUAGAUUCCAACCCCGAUAUCAAAAAUUCCACUACCGGCCCAAAACUCCAAAAAUUCAACUUUUGCCAUUUGAAGCCUAAAUAAGCUACGGACCACCAAAACACGAUCUAAACACGCCCCUAAGCCCGAAAUCACUCAACAGAGAUGAUAAAAUCGAUGAAAUUCCAUUCCGGGCCAGUCUUCACACUGCUCCGACUAUGGUCCAAUUUCUAAGACUCAAAUACUUAUUUAGGGACUAAGUGUCCCAAAGCACUCCAAAACUCAAGAUGAACCAUCCCGACAAUUCAUAAUAGCAGAAAAAUACGGGGAAAGCAGUUAAUAAGGGAUCAAGGUGUUAAUUCUCAAAACGAUCGGCCGAGUUGUUAUAUCCUCCACCGCUAAAAAUAUUUGUUCGUGCUCAAACGAGCAUAGAGACAUACUUGAAGUGGUGAAAAGAUGAGGAUAAUGGCUGCACAUAUCCUACUCGGUCUCCCAAGUCUCCUCCUCGACCAGCUUACCCCGCCACUAAACCUUUACUGAUGCAAUGCUAUUUGACCUUAACUUUUGAACAUGCCUGUCCAAUAUAGGCACUGGCUCCUCAAAAUAGGAUAGAUCCUUGUCCAACUUGACUGAACUGAAAUCCAACACAUGCGACGGUUCACUAUAAUAUUUCCGGAGCAUCGAAAUAUGAAAUACCGGAUGAACUCCUACAAAUCUGGGAGGUAAGGCAAGCUCAUAAACAACCUCUCCAACAGGUCACAACACCUCAAAUGGGCCAAUAAACCUUGGGCUCAAUUUUCCUUUCUUCCCAAGUUUCAUAAUGCCCUUCAUAGGCGAAACCCGAAGCAAGAGCCGCUCCCCAACCAUAAAUGAAACAUCGUGAACCUUCUAGUCUGCAUAACUCUUUUGUCUGGACUGGCCUGUGCAAAGUCUAUCCCGAAUCACCUCAACCUUCUCCAAAGUCUGUGCCUAAUAAUCUAGCCUCACCAGGCUCGAACCAACCUACUGGGGCCAUUUGAAUCCUGGAUUUAUAAUUGUUGUUGUAGGCAAACAUCGCAAAUGGUAAGAACUGAUCCCAAGAACCUCCAAACUCCAUAACACAUGCACGAAUCAUAUUCUCAAGAAUAUGAAUAGUGCAUUAGGACUGUCUGUCCGUAUUGGGGUGAAAUGAUGUGCUCAACUCCACCUGAGUACCCAACUCAUAUUGUACGGCUCUCUAGAACUGUGAUGUGAAAUGAGUACCUCUAUUUGAAAUGAUGGAAACUAGAAUACCAUGCAAACAACCAAUCUCCCGGAUAUAAAUCUCCGCCAUCCGCUCCGAAGAAUAGGUGGUACACACAGGAAUGAAGUGUGCGGACUUGGUCAGCCGAUCUACGACCACCCAAAUGACAUCGAACUUCGUCAAAUUCCGUUGGAGUCCAACUACGAAGUCCAUGAUGAUCCACUUCCACUUCCUCUCCGGAAUCUCUAUCUGCUGAAGCAAACCACCAAUUCUCUGAUACUCAUAUUUCACCUUCUGACAAUUGAGGCAUCGAGCUACAAACCCAACUAUAUCUUUCUUCAUCCUCCUCCAGCAAUAGUGCUGCCUUAAAUUGCAUCACCCGGAUGGAUGGAAUACCGCGAACUACGGGCCUCCUCCAAAAUCAACUCCCGAAUCCCAUCAAUAUUGGGUACGCAUAUCCGAGCGAGCAUCCUCAAAACACUGUCAUCGCCAAUUGUCACAUCUCUAGCAUCAUCAUAAAGAACGUAGUCCUUCUGGACUAGUAAGUGAGGGUCAUCAUACUGACGCUCUCUGAUAUGAUCAAACAAGGAAUACCGAGAAACCACACAAGCUAAGACCUGACUGGGCUCCAAAAUAUCCAAUAUCUCAAACUGGUUGGCUAAGGCUUAAAUGUUCAUUGCCAUGGGCCUCUCUGCUGCUAGUAGAUAAGCCAAACUCCCCAAACAUUUGGCCCGACGACUCAAAGCAUCAACCACCACAUUGGCCUUCCCCGGGUGGCACAAAAUGGUGAUAUCAUAGUCCUUUAGCAGCUCUAACCACCUCCUUUGAUGUAAAUUAAGGUCCUUAUGCUUGGACAGAUUCUGCAAACUCCGAUGAUCAGUAUAGAUCUCAUAAAGAACACCGUACAAAUAAUGACGGCAAAUCUUCUAGGCGUGAACAACAGAAGCAAACUUGAGAUCAUGGACAACAUGAUUAUUUUCAUGCACCUUCAGAUGUCUGGACACGUAGGCAAUCACCAUACCGUCCUGCAUCAAUACCGCUCUAAGGCCAAUCCUCGAGGGAUCCCAAUAGACAAUAUAUGACCCCAAAAUUGUAGGCAAUAUAAAUACUGGGGCUGUAGUCAAAGUUGUUUUGAGAUUCUGAAAGCUCUCCUCACAUCUUUCCUUCUAUAUGAACGGAGAACCCUUCUAGGUCAGCUAGGUCAUAGGUGUUGCAAUAGAUGAAAAUUCCUCAAUAAAUUGACCAUAAUAACCCGCCAAGCCAAGAAAACUACGAAUCUCUGUAGCUGAGGAUGGUCUAGGCCAACUCUGCACUGCUUUCACAUUUUCGGAUCUACCUUGAACUUCUUCACUCGAUACUACGUGACACAAGAAUACCACGGAUUCUAACCAGAACUCACAUUUUGAGAACUUCGCAUAUAAUUUCUAUUCUCUCAAGGUAUGAAUCAUUAUCCUAAGGUGCUGCUCAUGAUCCUCUCAACUCCGAAAGUAUACCAGAAUGUCAUCAAUAAAGACGAAGAUGAACGAGUCAAGAUAUGGCCAAAAUACAUUGUGCAUCAAAUUCACAAAUACUGCUAGGGCAUUAGUCAACCCAAAUGACAUAACAAGGAACUCGUAAUGACCACACAGAGUCCAAAAAGUAGUCUUCAGGAUAUCUGGCUCCCGAAUCUUUAACUGAUGAUAACCUGAACGCAAGUCAAUCUUAGAAAACACUCGAGUACCCUAUAACUGACUCUCAAGCAUUCGUUUAUCCUCCUCUAAAGUUGCUGUCCUAUCCUCUGGCUGAACUGGGGCUAUAGGCGGUACUAUUAUAACCUCUGGGAUCUUAUCAACCUUAACUCGAUGCUCUGGAGUGCAGGCGGCAGGAUUCUGUGCUCCUCCACCAACCUGAGAUGUAGCUGUAGCAAGGGGGAUAAACCCUACCUAAGCUAGAGUGGUGUACAUGCUCAUGAACUGCGCAAGGGUCUCCGGGAGAGCUGGAGUAGUAGUAGCAGCAGGCGUAUCAGGAGCCUGGGCUAUUGCUGGAGCUGCUGGUGGCUUCGCUGUAGCAGCUCGCAUAGGAGCUCAGUCCAAGUCGACUCCUCGACCAGCUGGCCCCGCCACUAAACCUCUACUGAUGCAAUGCUACUUGACCUUAGCUUUCAAACCUGCCUAUCCUAUAUAGGCACCGACUCCUCAACAUAGGAUAGAUCCUUGUCCAACCGGACUGAACUGAAAUCCAACACGUGCGACGGAUCACUGUGAUACCUCCGGAGCAUCAAAAUAUGGAAUACCGGAUGAACUCCUACCAAGCGGGGAGGUAAGGCAAGCUCAUAAACAACCUCCCCAACAUGUCGUAACGCCUAAAAUGGGCCAAUAAACGUUGGGCUCAAUUUGCCUUUCUUCCCAAAUUUUAUAACGCCCUUCAUAGGCGAAACCCAAAGCAAGAGUCGUUCCCCAACCAUAAAUGAAACAUCGCAAACCUUCUAGUUUGCAUAACUCUUCUGUCUAGACUGGGCUGUGCGAAGUCUAUCCUGAAUCACCUCAACCUUCUCCAAAGCAUCCUGAAACAAGUUUGUGCCCAGUAAUCUAGCCUCACCCGACUUAAACCAACCUACCGGAACCAUCUGAAUCCUGGAUUGAUAAUUGUUGUUGUAGGCAAACUCCACAAAUGGUAAGAACUGAUCCCAAGAACCUCCAAACUCCAUAACACAUGCAUAGAGCAUAUCCUCAAGAAUAUGAAUAGUGCGCUCGGACUGUCCGUCCAUUUGGGGGUGAAAUGAUGUGCUCAAAUCCACCCGAGUACCCAACUCAUGUUGUACUGCUCUCCAGAACCGUGAUGUGAAUUAAGUACCUCUAUUUGAAAUGAUAGAAACUGGAAUACCAUGCAGACAAAAAAUCUCCUAGACAUAAAUCUCCGCCAACCGCUCUGAAGAAUAGGUGGUACACAUAGGAAUGAAGUGCGUGGACUUGGUCAGCCGAUCUACGACCAUCAAAAUGGCGUCCAACUUACUCAAAUUCCGUGGGAGUCCAACUAUGAAGUCCAUGAUGAUCUGCUCCCACUUUCUCUCCGGAAUCUCUAUCUGCUAAAGCAAACCACCCGGUCUCUUAUUCUCAUACUUCACCUUCUGACAAUUGAGGCAUCGAGCUACAAACCCAACUAUAUCUUUCUUCAUUCUCCUCCAACAAUAGUUUUGCCUCAAAUUGUGGCACCCGGAUAGAUGGAAUACCGCAAACUGCGGGCCUCCUCCAAAAUCAACUCUAGAAUCCCAUCAACAUUGGGUACACAUAUCCGAGCCUGCAUCCUCAAUACCCCAUCAUCACCAAUUGUCACAUCUCUGGCAUCAUCAUGCUGAACUUUGUCCUUGUGGACUAGUAAAUGAGGGUCAUCAUAUUGACGCUCUCUGAUAUGAUCAAACAAGAAAGACCGAGAAACCACACAAGUUAGGACCUGACUGGGCCCUGAAAUAUUCAAUACAACAAACUGGCUGGCUAAGGUCUGAACAUCCAUCGCCAUGGGCCUCUGUGCUGUUGGUAGAUAAGCCAAACUCCCCAAACUCUUCGCCCAGCGACUCAAAGCAUCGGCCACCACAUUACCCUUCCCCGAGUUGAACUAGAUAGUAAUAUCAUAGUCCUUCAGCAACUCUAACCACCUCCUCUAACGCAAAUUAAGGUCCUUAUGCUUGGAUAGAUUCUGCAAACUUCGGUGAUCAGUAUAGAUCACACAAAGAACAUCGUACAAAUAAUGACGCCAGAUCUUUAAGGCGUGAACAAUAGAAGCUAACUUGAGAUCAUGGACAAGAUAAUUUCUUUUAUGCACCUUCAGCUGUUUAGACACGUAGGCAUUCACCCUACCGUCCUGCGUCAAUACCGCUCCAAGGCCAAUCCUCGAGGGAUCACAAUAGAGAGUAUAUGACCCCAAAACUGUAGGCAAUAUCCAUACUAGGGUUGUAGUCAAAGCUGUUUUGAGCUUCUAAAAGCUCUCCUCACAUCCUACCGCCCAUCCGAAUGGAGAACCCUUCAAGGUCAGUCAGGUUAUAAGUGUUGCAAUAGAUGAAAAUCCCUCAAUAAAUCAACCGUAGUAACCAGUCAAGCCAAGAAAACUACGAAUAUCUAUAGUUGAGGAUGGUCUAGGCCAACUCUGCAUUGCUUUCACUUUUUCGGAUCUACCUUGAACUCCUUCACUCGAUACUACGUGACCCAAGAAUACCACAGAAUCCAACCAGAACUCAUAUUUCAAGAACAUCGCAUAUAAUUUCUAUUCUCUCAAGGUCUGAAGCAUUGUCCUAAGGUGCUGCUCAUGAUCCUCUCGACUCCAGGAGUAUACCAGAAUGUCAUCAAUUAAGACGAUGACGAAUGAGUCAAGAUGUGGCCGAAAUACAUUGUGCAUCACAUGCAUAAAUAUUGCUAGGGCAUUAGUCAACCCAAAUGACAUAACAAGGUACUCGUAAUGACCAUACUGAGUCCUAAAAGCAGUCUUUAGGAUAUCUGGCUCCCGAAUCUUCAAUUGAUGAUAACCUGAACGCAAGUCAAUCUUAGAGAACACUCGAGCACCCUAUAACUGACUCUCAAGACUUCGUUUCUCCUCCUCUGAAGUUGUUGUCCUAUCCUCCAUCUAAAAUGGUGCUAUAGGCGGUACUAUUAUAACCUCUAUGAUCUUAUCAACCUUAACCCGAUGCUCUGGAGUGCGGGCGGCGGGAGUCUGUGCUCCUCCAGCGACCUGAGAUGUAGCUGUAGCAAGGGGGAUAAACCCUACCUCAGCUAGAGUUGUGUACUUGCUCAUAAACUGCACAAGGGUCUCCGGGAGAGCUGGAGUAGUAGUAGCAGUAGGCGUAUCAGGAGCCUGGGCUAUUGCUGGAGCUGCUGGUAGCUCCUCUGUAGCAGCUCACACAGGUUCUCUGGCUGUACCACAUACGCGUCCUCGGCCUCUACCUCGGCCCUGACCUCUGGUGGCUCUAGUAGGGGGCACCGAUGCCUGAUCACCUCCGGUAGCACGUGUACUCAGUAUUUGUGAGAGAAUAGACCAGAUACGUUUAGAAUUUUGAUAUCCAUAAUCUUGCACGACAAGGAAUCAAAUGAAGUGGAAUUUUCCUAACAGUUACAUAGCCUCUCGAAGAUAAGUACAGACGUCUCUGUACCGAUCCCCUAGACUCUAAUAAACUAGCUUGUGAUUCAUGAAUCCUAUAAACCCAGAGCUCUGAUACCAACUUGUCACGACCCAAGUUGUCCCUCCUUGAACUAUCAUGACAGCAUCUAGUUCUACGAUUAAGUAAGCCUAAUAAAUUGCAAAAAUGAAAUAGAGAUACGAAACUAGCAAUUAAUAGGUAAAUAUAACAAAGGAGUUUGAAAUGCCGCUCGACAUAUAAAAUAAUAACACUCUCGAACUAAAUAUAGCACUCUCAAAACCCGGAAUCUCAUGAAUCACAAGCUAAAGAAGUACAUAGUGUUCUAACUUCUGAAUUCUAAACGAAGAACAAUACAAGAGGUCUAUAACUAAAGGGGGAAUAGAGAGGGACUUCUAGGUAUGCGAACGUGGAAGAUAUACCACGAAGUCUUUGGAUAGCCUCAUCUUACGGAUAGUAUGGCUGAGCAAAAGAACCUGGAUCUUCACACGAAAAACACGUGCAGGAAAGGGCAUAAGUACACCACGACCGUACUUAGUAAGUGCCAAGCCUAACCUCGAUCUAGUAGUGUAGAGAUCAGGUCAGGGCCCUACUGGUUAUAUAUAUAACAAGGUAAAAUAGUAUGAGAUAUGGCAAUACAGUUAAAAAUACUAACAGCCAAUGCAAAAUGAAAUCAUUGAAAGAAAUAACUUAGAACAUAGAGAUAGCAAUAGGGGAUCUCCAAAGAUAAUGUCCCGUAGUCCCAAACGUAAAUGUACAGAGUAUCUCCCUGGAUACUGUCCCAUCUUCCAAAUCGUAAAUGUACAGGGGGAUCUCCUGGAAUACCAUUCUGUAGUCCCAAAGUAAAUAUCCAGUACAGGGGGAUCUCAUGGGAUACCUUCCCAUUAUCCCAAAUAUAAAUGUAUUGGGGAUCUCCCAGAAUACCGUUCCGUAGUCCAAAAAUAAAUAUGCAGGGGCAUCUCCCGGGAUACCGUCCUGUAGUCCCAAAGUAAAUACACAACAGUUUCAACAAGAAAAUCUAUAGUUAUAUUCAAGUUUGUAUCAAAAGACAGUUAAUUCCUACUCUAAACAUGCUGCACAAAAUCCAAAUAAGCAGUUAAAGCAGGUAAGACAGUAAAGUCAUAUAAGCAUGCUUUCCUAAUCUAAACAGGAAGCUUCACAUACUAGUAUUGAUCAAUUAAAGGAAAACAUAGAUAUUUACUUAAUCAAAAAUGUGAGUUUUCAACAAUUAGCACGUGUACGCACUCAUCACCACACGUACAUGGCAUUCAUAUAACAACAAUACCAAAAUCCUAAGGUGAGUUCCACCACAUAAGGUUAGGCAAGCCACUUUCCUCGAACCAAACUCAAAAUCAAUCUGAUAUCACGCUCUUGCCACGAGUAUCCAACUUCGAGUGGCCCAAAUCUAAUCACAAGCAACUAAUUUAACUACUUAAUUAAAAGCUAAGGCAAGAAAUUAGGAAAACGCCCAAAAAUCCUCCCCGGGCCAACAUCUCGGAAUCGGGUAAAAGUCACAAAUUAGGGACACACAUUAACUUAUGAGUCUAACCAUACCAAAUUCACUCAAAUCCGAUACCAAAAUCUCGAUCAAAAUCCCAAAUUUCGGCCUAAGAACCUUUUUCAAUUUUUCCCAGUUUUUUGCCCCAAAUCCGAUAUUAAAUGAUGAAAUGAUGCUUAGAUGAAAUAAAUCAUUACCCACAAACUUCCUCCGAAAAUCUCUCCAAAUUUUGCCUCCUACCGAGCUCUCGAUCCAAUUUUUUGAGUUAUGAACUCAAACCCUCAUUUUUGGAAUUUAAAUUUUUCCCAGAUGUGUUCAUCUUCGCGAACGCGAUGAACAAAAUGCCAAUGGCCCAAAUUCCUCCUUCACAAACGCGAGGUUCCUCUCGCAAAUGUGUAGCCUACAAUGGCGAACCCUUCACGAACAUGAGGACCAUGUCGCAAACGUGUAGGCUUAAGGUUCCACACCCACGCGAAUGCGGGAGCAUCAUCACAAACGCGAAGUACAACUUAGCUGCCUCUCCUAGAUGCCCUACGUGAAAGCGAGACCCCUCUAGCGAACGCGAUGAAGGAUUUUUCUGCAACAAGACACCUGAAAAUCUGCCACUUCUCUAAGUCCAAUAAUGACCCGUUGAGCAUCCGAAACACACCUGAGGCCUCGGAACCUCAACUAAACCUACCAACCAAUCCUAAAACACUAUACAGACUAAGUCGAGCCCUCAAAUCAUAUCAAACAACACUAAAAUCAUGAAUCACCCUCCAAUCCAAACUUAAUGAACUUGAAAUUUCAAAAUUCUACAAUCGACGCCGAAAUCAACCAAACCAUGUCCGAUUGUCCCCAAAUUUUUCACACAAGUCAUAUUUAACACUACCGACCUAUUCCAUCUUCCUGAAUUAGAUUAUGACCCCGAUAUCAAAAAUUCCACUUCCGGCCCAGAACUCCAAAAAUUCAACUUUCGCCAUUUCAAGCCUAAAUAAGUUACGAACCUCCAAAAUACUAUCCGGACAUGCCUCUAAGCCUGAAAUCACCCAACGGAGCUAACAGAAUUGAAGAAAUUCCAUUCCAGUCCCGUCUUCACACUACUCCGACUACGGUCAAAUUUCUAAUACUUAAAAUCUCAUUUAGGGACUAAGUAUCCCAAAACACUCUGAAACUCAAGAUGAACUAUCCCGACAAUUUACAAUAGUAGAAAAAAUACGGGGAAAGCAGUUAAUAGGGGAUCUGGGCAAUAAUUCUCAAAACGACCAGACGGGUCAUGACAUCCUCCCCUUUUAAAAAUAUUCAUUCGUCCUCGAACGAGCAUAGAGACAUACCUGAAAUGGUGAAAAGAUGAGGAUCUGCACAUAUCCUGCUCAGUCUCCCAUGUCGCCUCCUUGACUGGCUGACCCCCCACUGAACCUUUUCUGAUGCAAUGCUAUUUGACCUUAGCUUUCGAACAUGCCUGUCCAAUAUAGGCACUGGCUCCUCAACAUAAGAUAGAUCCUUGUCAAACUGGAUUGAAUAGAAUUCCAAAACAUGAGACGAAUCACUGUGAUACCUCCAGAGCAUUAAAAUAUGAAAUACCGGAUGAACUCCUACCAAUUUGGGAGGUAAGGUAAGCUCAUAAACAACCUCCCCAACACGUCGCAACACCUCAAAUGGGCCAAUAAACCUUGGGCUCAAUUUUUCUUUCUUCCCAAAUCUCAUAACGCCCUUCAUAGGCGAAAUCCGAAGCAAGAGCCGCUCCUCAACCAUAAAUGAAACAUCAUGAACCUUCCGGUCUACAUAACUCUUCUAUCCGGACUAGGUUGUGCCAGGUCUAUCCUGAAUCACCUCAACCUUCUCCAAAGUGUCCUGAACCAAGUCUGUGGCGAGACCAACCAAAACAUGUCCGAUUGACCCCAAUUUUUGCACAAAAGUUAUAUUCAACACUAUGGACCUAUUCCAACUUCCGGAGUUGGAUUCCGACCCAGAUAUCAAAAAUUCAACUUUUUACAUUUCAAGCAUAAAUAAGCUAUGGACCUCCAAAACAUGAUCCGGACAAGCCCCUAUGCCUGAAAUCAACAAACAGAGCUAACGGAAUUGACGAAAUUCAAUUCCGGACCCAUCUUCACACUGCUCCAACUAUAGUCCAAUUACUAAGACUUAAACUUUCAUUUAGGGACUAAGUGUCCCAAAACACUCCAAAACUCAAGAUGAACCAUCCCACCAAUUCACAAUAGCAGAAAACAAAUACGGGGAAAGCAAUUAAUAGGGGAUCAGGGCGUUAAUUCUCAAAACGAUCGGCCAGAUCGCUACAAUCAUGAUCCAUCAGGGGUUAAAGUAACCCAAAAUGGUUGAUGGAUUGUUAUGAUCAACUAACAUUUCUGAAUGAUAGUGCAAGCAUGGUAAUCGAUCUCCUUGUAAGACACUCAUAUGGUGCACUCUACAAAAGUACAAUUAGAUAUGAAUAUUAGAAUGUUCAGAAAUUUCAAAAGAUAGGAAUUGUAAUCGUAAAAGGGAUUAAUAGUUACCUUAGGAUGGUUCAUGUUCCUAGUAAAGUGAGGAUGUUAGGCAUCCUGAAGAGCUUAUGAGACAAAGCAAGGGGAACUAAAAGUCAAAGAACGUUUUGUUGAAGUUUUCAUAAUAAAGUGAUAUAUAGAAAUAUUAGCCGAAGAAUAAGAAUAAAGUAAAUAAAGCAUUAUGAGUAAGAUGUGAUAAAUGGGUGAUAACAGUAAUUCAAAAUAUGAUAGAAUGAUAGAGUCUAUAGUCAAGUGAAGGAAAGUACAAGAGGAGACAGGCCUUGAGACAAUAAAAUAGUAUAAGCCUUAAUGUUAUAUCCUCACUUCGAGAAAUGAGUUGGUGACUCUACCAUGAUUACUAAAAGAACAAGUUAGACCCCCAGAGUAAUAGAAAUCAGUAUGGGCUAGUGAACAAGAUAAACAGACCAUGAAUUAGGGACCGGAGGAUUUGAUAAUAGUUGACAUCGUGACAAUUUCGGAAAUCGUGCUCCAGCAAUAAUAGAAUGGACAACAAAAGAAUAACCUUUAAAGUUCAUUCAGGAAGAUGCUUUCCUAAAGGAAGCAUUGUGAGUAGAGUUUAGCUUAAUGGAUUAGGUGUGCCAGUUACACUAGGUGUCACCUUCGUGCAUAAGAUCAGUUAUCCCCGGUACAGAAGGGUUAUCGCAAGGCAAGCAAGAGUUAGUGAAGAUGUGAAAAGAUGCUAAAGAUGAAGAGGUAAAAUAUUUAUAGGUAAAUCUUCGUAGCAUUAAAUGUUUGUAAUCCCAAAGGGGAAGAUGGUGUGAUAUGGUAUUAAGUCGGAGUUUUGUGGUUCAGGUUACUAUGGAAUAGUAAAUGAAGAAUGUGGUAGAAAGGCGAAAUGAAUAAGAUUGCAUUUAUUUAGAUCUUACAAAUAAGAUAUGACUCCAUAACAUUAUGCAAGCACGACGUUGGGGAGAGGCAGUAAGGGUUCCAUCACAAGAUGUUAUUGACAAUAAGUGCAAAUGAACACUUGAUACAUAAGGAGCUAGUGCGAGGGGUAAGUUAAUACAAAGGACAUAAACCAAGAGAGAAUAUGCAUAAUAUAGAUAUGAGAAUGGACAAAUAAGUAUUUAGUAGUUGAUUGAGGAAGAUACUAGUUAUGGCUAGACAAGAGGAAACAGACAAAACAACAGAUUGUGCAAGAUAAACACAGUGAACCCCGACAUAGUGAAUUCAGUCUCGUAGAUAUGACGUCAUAAUCCUUGAGAAAUAUUCAUAUAGGGGUUGGGGUAGUUAAAGGUACCAUAUAAGUGUUAUUGAAAUAAAAGAGAUUGCCACUGCGAAGACAAUCAAAAAUUUCAGUUCAGAAGCAACCAUGCGAGCACAAGGGCACGGAGGUAAGUAACUAGGAAUAAUUAUAGGAGAGCAAGAACAUCAAAAAUUCCAUCAUGUAUAUGAUGUAAUAAGCUCGCAGCUUUACAAGAGUCAGAGGGUAUACCCUAAGUACUACAACGAAAUACUAGCUGAUGAAAUAAGGAAGAAGGCUUUAACCAAAGCAUAGUAACUUGAAGAAGAAAUGGUGUUCUAAUAAUAGUCUCACUAUAAUAUUAUAUACACCCCAUAAGAAAGUAGCACCUAUCUUAGCUAAUUAACGGGAAGUAAAAAUCAAAAGUGAUAUUUAAGAUCAUAUGAGUUACAGGAAAUUUCGGUAUUGGUGGGCACUAAGAUAAGCCAAGCAUUCAUGCAAAAAGUGGCAGAAUGACCAGGAAGAGUAAUUUCUUACGUUUAAAGACAACCGAGAAGGCAUGAAAGGAAAUCUAUGGUGCUAGCAAGUUAAAGGAAGGUUGCGAGUAAUAUAAAUAGAUAUGUGUAGGUCGCAAGAUAAAGUAUCCUGGAGUGAAAAGGUUUUAGGUAUAUAGGAGUAAGGAUAAGAAAAGGUGAGUGAGAAGGUGAAGAGAAUAGGUAAGUCCUUGGGAUUCAAACCCGUAAAAAAUAAGAGAGCUGAUGAUUUUUGUAAGUUAAUGAUGUCAUACCUCCUUUUUCCCGAGGGGAUACAGGAGUUUUUCCAAUUAAAGUGUCAUUAAUCAAAAUAUAAUUAUUUAUUUAUUUUAAAAUCUCCACUUGGAAUAAUUUAUGGUGUCCCAGGUUACCGGUUUAGUUUAAAUCUCAAAUCGAGGAAAUUUGACUCUGUUUAAAGUCUGCGAAAGUCAGAAGAUUGGGUAAGGUAUUCUGUUAACCCGGGAGAAGGUGUGAGGCACUCUCGAGUUCCAUGGUUUUAGAACGGUCUCUCAACUAUUAAUAAUUAGACUAAUUAUCUGAUUUAAUAUAUCUUAAAAAUCUAUUGUGCAUUUUUGCUUUUAACCACUUUUAAUAGAACUUUAAUUGCUUUUUGGAUUUAUGGAAUUAUUUAUGGAACAAGUUACGAUGUCGUACACUUGUCAUUUUGGUACACAUUACAAACUGCGUCAUGUGAAAUACAUCCGCGAUUUACCACAUGUUUAUUUUUAUUAUUAUUAUUUGAAGUUACGAUCGAGUUACAUGAAAUGCGCACCCGAAUUGGGGAAGUAUGUAUCAUGACUAUGUCACAGGAACCGUAUUCAUAGUCACGAUGAUCUAUUAUUGAACGCGCCUAAAGAAAACUACAAUUGUUCAUAAAUUAAUUAUUUGCCUUUUUUAGAUUAUUGUUAGGUUGUGAAUUAUGGAACAGUUGUGGAAAAAUGGUGAGUCGUACAUGUUCCCACAAUAUUAACUCAUAACAUGGCCUUAGAUAAUGAAAAGCGACAUAUCUAUCACAGUUCCCAAAACCCACUUCCUAUUUUAAGUAUAUAAUAAGAGAGAAACCAAAAAAAUGAACAACAAAAACAAUAUCCAUUUUAGACAAAGAAAUAUCACAAAAAGUAAAAUUUGAAGAACCAGCAACCAAGAGCACCCCCAAUAAAACUCAAUGCACAACCAAAAGAAUCAGCAAAUGUUAAAAGAAUAGGAAAUUUUUCAAGAAUUAAAUUACCAAAUUGUUCUGAGGAAUGCGGGUAUCUUCAAUGGACUCCAUGUUUACAAUUUUUUUACUGUUUCCUUCAAAAUUCGAACAAGAAUGAAAUUCUGACCGGAGCUCGGAACCUCAUCGUCAAAUCGAAUCUUGCUCAGACCCAAUUACAUGCUGCCUUGAGGAGGAAUUACUAUUGUUUUAGUGGUGCUUAUUGAUGUAUUUUCCAGCUGGGCUCGGCCAUGAGUUUAGUCGUGAAACAUUGCUAUUUUGGAGCUGAUUGAAAGCCGUUUUUCAGGUGUUCUAUGGCUAGUUUUGGAGUUAUUUUGGAGGACUAUUUUCAGGUAGCGUAAUGGCUAUUUUUGCAGAUGAUAUUCAGCUGCGAUUUUGGAGAAUUUAGAGGUGUGUUUAAGGUGGUAAGGGAAGAGGGUUCACAUAGCUAUGAGCUACUGGUUUCUACGGCCAAAAUAAAGAAGCUAAGGUGAAGAAAAAUGGAAUUUUGUGGGGAUAGAUCUGCUAGAUUGAGGUAGAUGAAAUAUACGAGCAAGAACGAAAUAUUUUCAGAGGCUAAUACCUCACGUUUCUCUUUCCCGUUCUCUCCUCUCUCUUUUUCAAGUUGUUGUGCGGAUGAUUUCUCUUUUGUCUAAAGUGAAAGAAAAAUGGGGGAAAUUUUUUGGGGUUCUGCUGUUUUUCCAUCCAUAGUGGUCUAGGUUUUUGUGAAAAUAUGGGUUUUAUAUGGUUUGGGGAGGAGGAAAUCUGAUAGGUUAUUGGCU
RNAcentral lists this long non-coding RNA (17420 nucleotides) under Nicotiana tabacum (common tobacco). RNAcentral describes it as "long non-coding RNA (NTAB_LNC019580)". The record is from RNAcentral. Lineage: Eukaryota; Viridiplantae; Streptophyta; Magnoliopsida; Solanales; Solanaceae.